AAUCCUGUGGCACAGUCAGUUGAGCAUUGUGCUUACAACGCAAAGGUCAUGGGUUCGAACACCGGGGUAA
This is a non-coding RNA of Danionella cerebrum, 70 nucleotides long. NCBI's taxonomy places the organism in Eukaryota, Metazoa, Chordata, Actinopteri, Cypriniformes, Danionidae. The record is from the annotation of a GenBank genome assembly.